GAGAGAUGUAGAGGAACCUGGACAUCUGUACCAGGACAGAGAGAGGAAGAGGAUCCUGGACAUCUGUAUCAGGGCAGAGAGAGGUAGAGGGACCUGGACAUCUGUAUGAGACAGAGAGAGGUAGAGGAACCUGGAAAUCUGUAUCAGACAGAGAGAGGAAGAGGAACCUGGACAUCUGUAUCAGGACAGAGAGAGGUAGAGGAACCUGGACAUCUGUACCAGGACAGAGAGAGGUAGAGGAACCUGGAAAUCUGUAUCAGACAGAGAAAGGAAGAGGAACCUGGACAUCUGUACCAGGACAGAGAGAGGAAGAGGAACCUGGACAUCUGUAUCAGACAGAGAGAGGAAGAGGACCCUGGACAUCUGUAUCAGACAGAGAGAGGAAGAGGAACCUGGACAUCUGUACCAGGACAGAGAGAGGAAGAGGACCCUGGACAUCUGUAUCAGACAGAGAGAGGUAGAGGAACCUGGGCAUCUGUAUCUGGACAGAGAAAGGUAGAGGAACCUGGAAAUCUGUAUCAGACAGAGAGAGGAAGAGGAACCUGGACAUCUGUAUCAGGACAGAGAGAGGUAGAGGAACCUGGACAUCUGUACCAGGACAGAGAGAGGAAGAGGAACCUGAACAUAUGUAUCAGUACAGAGAGAGGUAGAGGUACCUGAACAUCUGUAUCAGGGCAGAGAGAGGUAGAGGAACCUGGACAUCUGUAUGAGACAGAGAGAGGAAGAGGAACCUGGACAUCUGUAUCAGACAGAGAGAGGUAGAGGAACCUGGGCAUCUGUAUCUGGACAGAGAAAGGUAGAGGAACCUGGAAAUCUGUAUCUGGACAGAGAGAGGUAGAGGUACCUGGAAAUCUGUAUCAGACAGAGAGAGGUAGAGGAACCUGGACAUCUGUAUCAGACAGAGAGAGUAAGAGGAACAUGGACAUCUGUACCAGGACAGAGAGAGGAAGACAAACCUGGAAAUCUGUAUCAGGACAGAGAGAGGUAGAGGAACCUGGACAUCUGUAUCUGGACAGAGAGAGGUAGACAAACCUGGAAAUCUGUAUCAGACAGAGAGAGGAAGAGGAACCUGGACAUCUGUACCAGGACAGAGAGAGGAAGAGGAACCUGGACAUCUGCAUCAGACAGAGAGAGGAAGAGGAACCUGGACAUCUGCAUGAGACAGAGA
This 1168-nucleotide long non-coding RNA is filed under the name Salmo salar (Atlantic salmon). RNAcentral's name for it is "lncRNA (ENSSSAG00000085866.1)". The record is from RNAcentral. Lineage: Eukaryota; Metazoa; Chordata; Actinopteri; Salmoniformes; Salmonidae.